This 460-nucleotide ribosomal RNA is filed under the name uncultured bacterium. Its description in RNAcentral is "partial 16S ribosomal RNA". It matches the Rfam family "Bacterial small subunit ribosomal RNA", at positions 338 to 795 of the family's 1533-position model. The record is from RNAcentral.
CCUACGGGAGGCAGCAGUGAGGAAUAUUGGUCAAUGGACGAGAGUCUGAACCAGCCAAGUAGCGUGAAGGAUGACUGCCCUAUGGGUUGUAAACUUCUUUUAUAUGGGAAUAAAAUGUUCCACGUGUGGGAUUUUGUAUGUACCAUAUGAAUAAGGAUCGGCUAACUCCGUGCCAGCAGCCGCGGUAAUACGGAGGAUCCGAGCGUUAUCCGGAUUUAUUGGGUUUAAAGGGAGCGUAGGUGGAUUGUUAAGUCAGUUGUGAAAGUUUGCGGCUCAACCGUAAAAUUGCAGUUGAAACUGGCAGUCUUGAGUACAGUAGAGGUGGGCGGAAUUCGUGGUGUAGCGGUGAAAUGCUUAGAUAUCACGAAGAACUCCGAUUGCGAAGGCAGUUCACUGGACUGCAACUGACACUGAGGCUCGAAAGUGAGGGUAUCAAACAGGAUUAGAUACCCGUGUAGUC